Molecule: ribosomal RNA, 513 nt
Filed under: uncultured bacterium
Lineage: Bacteria
Description: partial 16S ribosomal RNA
Rfam family: Bacterial small subunit ribosomal RNA
Source: RNAcentral
GACGAACGCUGGCGGCGUGCCUAAUACAUGCAAGUAGAACGCUGAAGAGAGGAGCUUGCUCUUCUUGGAAGAGUUGCGAACGGGUGAGUAACGCGUAGGUAACCUGCCUUGUAGCGGGGGAUAACUAUUGGAAACGAUAGCUAAUACCGCAUAACAAUGGAUGACACAUGUCAUUUAUUUGAAAGGGGCAAAUGCUCCACUACAAGAUGGACCUGCGUUGUAUUAGCUAGUAGGUGAGGUAACGGCUCACCUAGGCGACGAUCCAUAGCCGCCCUGGGAGGGUGAUCGGCCACACUGGGACUGAGACACGGCCCAGACUCCUACGGGAGACAGCAGUAGGGAAUCUUCGGCAAUGGGGGCAACCCUGACCGAGCAACGCCGCGUGAGUGAAGAAGGUUUUCGGAUCGUAAAGCUCUGUUGUAAGUCAAGAACGAGUGUGAGAGUGGAAAGUUCACACUGUGACGGUAGCUUACCAGAAAGGGACGGCUAACUACGUGCCAGCCGCCGCCGUAA